Molecule: long non-coding RNA, 1992 nt
Filed under: Homo sapiens (human)
Lineage: Eukaryota; Metazoa; Chordata; Mammalia; Primates; Hominidae
Description: HSALNT0081255
Source: RNAcentral
GGGAAUUAUCUCACCACCUACGUACGGGAGCCCGAACAAAAGGCUCUGGCCAUUUUAUGGACCCAGGGGUGGGGAUGGGGGUGAGCUGGAGAGGGGAGGACUAGGUGUGGGAAACAGUGAAUAUUGAGUCAGAGAGAAAAAAGAGGCUUCAAGUGUCCUCCCCAGUGAGGAGGCCUCCGCAGAAUGACCCGAUGAAGAGACCUCCUCUCUCUGAAUGCAGGGAGGGCUAGAGAUGCAGAUAUGCAUAAGCGCAUGGUGCUGAGGAUGGAGUGACUGAGCCCUUGACUGCAGCUCCCUUCAGAGACUGCAGUUUACUGGCUGCACACAGUCUGGUGUGGGGAGGACAAUUUUUCCCUGUGAAGCCUGCCAGGAUAUAAAGAUGUUUAAUUGGACAACCUUAUUCAUUCAGCUGUGACUUGCAGAAGGAUCUGAGCAGGGAGCUGGUUUGGAUUAAAGUCACAUACAAACUGAGCCAUCUCCAACAUCUACAUCAGGAAGUAACUCUAACUCAAGAUAGAGGUCACUGGAGGGGCAACAGGUGCUGAGAUGUCUAUGCAGGCAAGUCUGAGGUUAGCCUCCCAGAGUUUCGGGGAAAAGCACACAGGCAUUCCUGAACACUCUGAGAGGUGCAGAAAAGUGGCUGAGCAGACAGACACAAGGUCUGGCAUGGAGGCAGAGGAUCACAGCGGAGCAUGGACCUAACAGCUGGAUGCCGUGUGGUGAUAUCACUAUCAGCAGAAGAUGCAACAAGACCGGGGCCACUGCUCAAGGCCAGAGAAACAGGUUUGUAGGGGCCAGUGGGUCAGCGGUGACCAUAGAAGACAGUCUUCUCUACUUUGAUAGCAAAACAAUGCGUAAGGCACCUGAGGAACUCAGAUUACAACCAGGGAGAAGAAAAUCAGAGGUACAAGGUGGGAUGCAUCCUGAAUUGGUAGAGGAGAUACCCCAGAGUGUUCUACCAGAGUUGACAGAAUUACCUUGAAUAAAUAAGAAGAAGGUAUUUUAUUACCAACAGUCUCAUGGGCUAAGUUUAAGUACAGAGGAAUAAAGUUAUAUCUUUACACACUUGGGUGUGUGACAAUGUAAAAUGUCAACAUUAUACUUCCCAAUGGACUAUGCCAUGCAGAAGGCAGAAAGAAGUCAAAAGCCUGUUCUUUUUUUUCCCAUUCCAUAGUAAAUAGCAGAAAUUAUUCCCUUUGUUAAUCUAAGCAUACACCAGUCUGUAGGUUCAUAAUGAGAAAUAACUUUUUGUUCUUUGAUUUUUUUAAACAAAAUAUAGAAUUUAUAAGACAAACCCUUUUUGGUUUGUGUUUUAUUCCACCUUCUUUUAGCUAGAUUUGAAUGAAAGCAAAAUAAAGCUAUGUAUUGAAUAAAUAUGUUAACUCCACAGUAUUUUUGAAUAUAUAUUUUUCAUGGUAUAGUUCCAACUUUCAUUGGUGAUAUUGAUAUGAAAGUCAGAUUUACUGAGAGGUAAUGUUCAGCCUUGGAAGCAUCACCAAAAUGUGUAUAUAAGGCCUUUGUCCACUAAUGAGUGUCCUUUUAUGUGACUGGUUUUGUAAAGCCUUACACUGUGAAUGGACCGUCAAUCAACUCGCAGCUGCACUGAGGCCUUCGGAUGGCUGUAUCCAUGGCAACGUGCCAAAAAUGGCGGCGCAAAUUAAUCCAUUUGUGUGAAAUUCUCAGUGAGAGUCCACUUUCAUCUUUCAGAAACUACUGUUAGGAAGUCUGAUGAUAAUGUAAAAUACUAAGCAAAAGCAAAAUAGUGAUGGACUAUCCACAGGAUCUUCUCCCUGUAAACAGUGGGACUUCUUUUCCUUUUUAUCUGCUAGAGAUGACAGAGCAGAGUUGGGGAUGUAAUAUUACCACCAUAAUGUUCUUUUUACAAAAAAAGUUACAUUAAUUUAAUGUUCACAUAUAGGCUUCUUUUUCACCUUCUCUCACAAUGCUAUCUAAUCAGCCUGGAAAAUAAGUACAAUGAUUUACACAGUGGUA